Arabidopsis lyrata subsp. lyrata is the source of this 448-nucleotide long non-coding RNA. RefSeq lists it as uncharacterized. The transcript has 3 exons. The record is from RefSeq and is a predicted model, not a curated record. NCBI's taxonomy places the organism in Eukaryota, Viridiplantae, Streptophyta, Magnoliopsida, Brassicales, Brassicaceae.
GUUGGAGUUUGUGGAAACAACGUCAUGAAUAACCAAGUAACAAGUGAUCUCAUUGAGGGUAUUGGAUAGAAAGCUUCGAUUCAUCUUUUGGUGAGAUUCAGCUGUGGUAGGUAUUGGUAAGACACUUUGCUGCUCCAAAUACCUUUUCUAGCUUAUCUUUCCUUCUUUCCUCACGCUUUUAUAUGUAGUCAUUAUCUAGUAGAAGCAUUUGAAAAACUCACUUGCUUUACUUAUACAAAGACAGCCAACGACAAAGAAAAGAACCAAACUGCAGAGAAUAUGGAGAAGGCAGUGAAGUGUGGACAUCAACCUAAGUUCUUGGAGGGAGAGAAAGAGCAAACCAAUGUAAUUCUUCGUUUAGUCCAUCUGAAUUGCAGUACUUAUGAUGUUGUUUAAGACCUUUUUUUAACAAAUGGUGUUCAAUGCUACACUAUGUAACUUUUGAUGA